UGGACCUCAGCUAAUGCUACUUUUCUUCUCAUUUUUAAUUCUUUUCUUUUACUUUAUCUCUCCAUUUUGAUUCAUAUGCAUUGUAUAUGCAAUUCUCUAGUGCAAAAUGAGGCAAAGAAUCUAAGAUAUAAUUACAGAGUUUUGCGAUCUAAAUAUAAACAUGCAAAGAGUAACUAAUUUGUCAGUUUAUAUUUUAUUACCUGAUGCAUGAAAACUUUUUUUAUGCAUAUCCUUCAAAAAGCUUCUUUUAGAUGCAACUUACAUUUAUGAGAUAAUAUGUGAUUUUUUUUUUAAGAAUCGAGGUACAUAUGUUGAAAUUUAAGACUCCAUGGAUAAGUUGAAGUUAGUGCAAUUAUAUUGAAUGAUAAUUGAUGGAUGGUGGAUAGAUCGAUAGUUUUAGUUUGCUUUUUUUUAUUUCCUAUGAAAAAUGAUUACUCUUUUAUUAUGGCGAUAUGUGUGUGUA
Molecule: long non-coding RNA, 463 nt
Filed under: Phoenix dactylifera (date palm)
Lineage: Eukaryota; Viridiplantae; Streptophyta; Magnoliopsida; Arecales; Arecaceae
Description: long non-coding RNA (PDAC_LNC019916)
Source: RNAcentral